Molecule: ribosomal RNA, 220 nt
Filed under: uncultured Entrophospora
Lineage: Eukaryota; Fungi; Glomeromycota; Glomeromycetes; Entrophosporales; Entrophosporaceae
Description: uncultured Claroideoglomus partial small subunit ribosomal RNA
Rfam family: Eukaryotic small subunit ribosomal RNA
Source: RNAcentral
CCAAUAGCGUAUAUUAAAGUUGUUGCAGUUAAAAAGCUCGUAGUUGAAUUUCGGGAUUGACACAUCGGUCGUGCCCUAAGGGGUAUGAACUGGUGUAGUCAAUUUCUCACCUUCUGGAGAACCGCGCUGUCCUUAAUUGGGUGACGUGGGGAACCAGGACCUUUACUUUGAAAAAAUUAGAGUGUUUAAAGCAGGCAUUUUGCUUGAAUACAUUAGCAUG